UACGUAGGUGGCGAGCGUUACUCGGAAUCACUGGGCAUAAAGGGCGUGUAGGCGGGUUCGUAAGUCCGUUGUGAAAGCCCCCGGCUCAACCGGGGAAGGCCAGUGGAUACUGCGAGUCUUGAGUGCGGUAGGGGAGAGUGGAACUCUUGGUGGAGCGGUGAUAUGCGUAGAUAUCAAGAGGAACGCCGGUGGCGAAAGCGACUCUCUAGCCCGUAACUGACGCUGAGGCGCGAAAGCCAGGGGAGCAAAC
RNAcentral lists this ribosomal RNA (250 nucleotides) under uncultured bacterium. RNAcentral's name for it is "partial 16S ribosomal RNA". It matches the Rfam family "Bacterial small subunit ribosomal RNA", at positions 524 to 773 of the family's 1533-position model. The record is from RNAcentral.